Non-coding RNA from Phrynosoma platyrhinos (Desert horned lizard), 70 nucleotides. The record is from the annotation of a GenBank genome assembly. NCBI's taxonomy places the organism in Eukaryota, Metazoa, Chordata, Lepidosauria, Squamata, Phrynosomatidae.
CCCAGCAUGGUGCAGUGGUUUGAACAUUGGACUAUGACUCUGGAAAUAAGGGUUUGAUUCCCUGUUUGGA